RNAcentral lists this ribosomal RNA (484 nucleotides) under uncultured bacterium. RNAcentral describes it as "partial 16S ribosomal RNA". It matches the Rfam family "Bacterial small subunit ribosomal RNA", at positions 30 to 507 of the family's 1533-position model. The record is from RNAcentral.
AUUGAACGCUGGCGGCAGGCCUAACACAUGCAAGUCGAGCGGAUGAAGGGAGCUUGCUCCUGGAUUCAGCGGCGGACGGGUGAGUAAUGCCUAGGAAUCUGCCUGGUAGUGGGGGGUAACGUCCAGAAACGGGCGCUAAUACCGCAUACGUCCUGAGGGAGAAAGUGGGGGAUCUUCGGACCUCACGCUAUCAGAUGAGCCUAGGUCGGAUUAGCUAGUUGGUGGGGUAAAGGCCUACCAAGGCGACGAUCCGUAACUGGUCUGAGAGGAUGAUCAGUCACACUGGAACUGAGACACGGUCCAGACUCCUACGGGAGGCAGCAGUGGGGAAUAUUGGACAAUGGGCGAAAGCCUGAUCCAGCCAUGCCGCGUGUGUGAAGAAGGUCUUCGGAUUGUAAAGCACUUUAAGUUGGGAGGAAGGGCAGUAAGUUAAUACCUUGCUGUUUUGACGUUACCAACAGAAUAAGCACCGGCUAACUUCGUG